Myotis davidii is the source of this 1112-nucleotide long non-coding RNA. RefSeq lists it as uncharacterized. The transcript has 3 exons. The record is from RefSeq and is a predicted model, not a curated record. NCBI's taxonomy places the organism in Eukaryota, Metazoa, Chordata, Mammalia, Chiroptera, Vespertilionidae.
AAUUUAUAUUUAUUAUAGGAAUUGGCUCAUGCUGUUGAUGGAGGCCAAGAAGUUCCACAAUCUGCCAUAUCCAAGCUGGAGAACCAGGAAAGCCUGUGGUGUAAUUCAGCUCCAGUCUGAAGGCCUGUGAGUGAGAGUGUGGGUUGGGGAGCCUGGUGGUGUCAGUCCUGCUCUCUGCCUGAAAGCCCCAGGACUAAAAGCACCAAUGUCUGAGGACAAAAAUGGAUGUCCCAACUCAAACCGAAGGCAAAUUGACCUUUCUCCCACCUUUUUGUUGCAUUCAGGCCCUCAGUGGAUUAGAUGAUGCCCAUUGGGGAAGAGGUCUGAAGACUUGAAUCUAGGACAAAUCUGGGAGCUUGGUAGCAAGCAAAGAAACUAAGACUGGAUAAGAGGUGGGAUGAAGGUAAAAAAUGAUGUCGUCAUCUGUAUCUGCCUUUCUGAGGGGAUCGCUGGACAUGGUAUUGAGAAGACAGGGUUCUGUGUCCCUGACAGUGCACAUGUCACACUGAAAUCUGCUGAGAUAAAACAACUGGACAAGGACAAGAUAGUGUGUCAUCUGAGGCCAAAACAGGAUUGUGGGGUCCUCAUCUGCAAUAGACACGCACCAGAAAUGUAAAGGCAAGUGCAGUGAUAUGUGAGUCCUCAGCUCCAUUCAUUUUGUUGGUUUUAAAUUUCAUUUAUCAAUAUCUCUGGUUUCUUUAAUUCAGGUCAUUAUCAAAUAAUGCAAAUAAUAACUAACAUAUUAAUAACUUAUAAUGUGCAGAUACUGUUGUUAAAUAGUUAAAAUGUGUCAGUUUCAGGUAGGGACAAUGUUCCUUUACAGAUGAGGAAACGGAAGCCCAGAGAGGCUAGAUAACCUGACCCUGCAUACAACCUAGGCUUAUAGAGGCAACAGCCUGUGUUGUCACCUACUCCAGACUCCUCUAUCUCGGGACUCGGGACUUUUGGGUUGCUAAGAACUGAACUCCUGAUUUUAUCUGUUGCAUCAGAUGACGCUCCAACCAACUGAACUACCCAGCCUGUUUCCAUUCCCCCCGCACCACCUGAUGGGAAGUAGUAUAUAAAGAGGGCUGAAAAUAGAGAAAAUGAAGGAAGAAGAACUCAAUUUUACA